GUGAGGAAUAUUGGGCAAUGGGCGCAAGCCUGACCCAGCAACGCCGCGUGGAGGAUGAAGGCCCUUGGGUCGUAAACUCCUUUUCUGGGGGAAGAGCAAGGACGGUACCUCAGGAAUAAGUCACGGCUAACUACGUGCCAGCAGCCGCGGUAAUACGUAGGUGGCGAGCGUUAUCCGGAAUUACUGGGCGUAAAGCGCACGCAGGUGGUCGAUCAAGUCUGGCGUGAAAGCUCCUGGCUUAACUGGGAGAGGUCGUUGGAAACUGAUCGACUUGAGGCAAUGAGAGGGGUGCGGAAUUCCCGGUGUAGUGGUGGAAUGCGUAGAUAUCGGGGGGAACACCAGUGGCGAAAGCGGCACCCUGGCAUUGUCCUGACACUCAUGUGCGAAGGCGUGGGGAGCGAACGGGAUUAGAUACCCUAGUAGUCC
RNAcentral lists this ribosomal RNA (426 nucleotides) under uncultured bacterium. Its description in RNAcentral is "bacterial SSU rRNA". It matches the Rfam family "Bacterial small subunit ribosomal RNA", at positions 354 to 796 of the family's 1533-position model. The record is from RNAcentral.